Leptonychotes weddellii (Weddell seal) is the source of this 1010-nucleotide non-coding RNA. Lineage: Eukaryota; Metazoa; Chordata; Mammalia; Carnivora; Phocidae. The record is from RefSeq and is a predicted model, not a curated record.
GGGCGGGCCCAGGGGCGGGGCGGUGGCCGGGCUGCGGUUGCGGUCCCUGCGCCCGCGGUGGCUGAGUCGCAGGAGGUGGCGAGUAGGGAGUGGAAAGCCACCGUGUCACCCAAUUUGGAUCCUGGCUUCCCUCAAAAGACUCUUAAGGCUAAUCUUUGAUAACCUUCUGGAGUAGCCAACUACAUGUAGAUAUAUAGAUAAACGACUGUUGGUUUUGACCUGAUUUUUUUCAGCCACAUUUAUAUAUAUGGAGUUUCCUCACCAAAGAUGAUGACUUUAAGUAUAUCCCUGGAGCAUUUGGAUAAUGUGGUAGUUGGGAUGCAGUGAUGUCGAAUCUCUGUCCACCGCCAUCUCCGGCUGUUGCCAAGACAGAGAUUGCUCUAAGUGGUGAAUCGCCUUUAUUAGCAGCUACCUUUGCUUACUGGGACAAUAUUCUUGGUCCUAGAGUCAGACACAUUUGGGCUCCAAAGACAGAACAGCUACUACUCAGUGAUGGAGAAAUAACUUUUCUUGCCAACCACACCUUAAAUGGAGAAAUUCUCCGAAAUGCAGAGAGUGGGGCUAUAGAUGUGAAGUUUUUUGUCUUGUCUGAAAAAGGAGUAAUUAUUGUUUCAUUAAUCUUUGAUGGAAACUGGAAUGGAGAUAGGAGCACGUAUGGCCUAUCAAUUAUACUUCCACAGACAGAACUUAGCUUCUACCUCCCACUUCACAGAGUGUGUGUUGAUAGAUUAACACACAUUAUCAGGAAAGGAAGGAUAUGGAUGCACAAGUGAUGUAACUCAAACUUUCAAAAAGCCAGGGAUACCUUCAUUGUGUGAUUUUCUUCAUUUUGCUUUUUUGUACAGGGUCAGAGUAUUAUUCCAAUGCUUACUGGCGAAGUAAUUCCUGUAAUGGAACUGCUUUCAUCUAUGAAAUCACACAGCGUUCCUGAAGAAAUAGAUAUAGCUGACACAGUUCUCAAUGAUGAUGAUAUUGGUGACAGUUGUCAUGAAGGCUUUCUUCUCAAGUAA